AAGAAAAUUUUCAACGGUGGAUAUCUUGGCUCCCAUAACGAUGAAGAACGCAGCGAAAUGCGAUACGCAAUGUGAAUUGCAGAAUUCCGCGAGUCAUCAGAUCUUUGAACGCAAAUUGCGCCGAGGGGAUAUCCCAACGGCAUGUUUGUUUCAGUGUGUUUA
This 162-nucleotide ribosomal RNA is filed under the name Cryptocaryon irritans. Its description in RNAcentral is "5.8S ribosomal RNA". It matches the Rfam family "5.8S ribosomal RNA". Rfam says of the family: 5.8S ribosomal RNA (5.8S rRNA) is a component of the large subunit of the eukaryotic ribosome. It is transcribed by RNA polymerase I as part of the 45S precursor that also contains 18S and 28S rRNA. Functionally, it is thought that 5.8S rRNA may be involved in ribosome translocation. The record is from RNAcentral. Lineage: Eukaryota; Ciliophora.